Long non-coding RNA from Sarcophilus harrisii (Tasmanian devil), 853 nucleotides. RefSeq lists it as uncharacterized. The record is from RefSeq and is a predicted model, not a curated record. Lineage: Eukaryota; Metazoa; Chordata; Mammalia; Dasyuromorphia; Dasyuridae. The transcript has 4 exons.
AAGCAACAAGAGCUUUACUCCAGAAUCCUGACUUUUCAAAGAGCUAAUAAUGCUCACUCUAAUUUCCCAUCUAGUUGGCAAGAAUAGGGAUAGAUAUUGUUGGUAUAGAAACUUCUAAGAUUUUUGAAUGCAAUGGAAAAGACCAAAUAGAAAGUUUAGACUUAUCCCAUCUGGAAGAAGAUGAACUUCUAGAUUACCUGGAUUGGUUCAUCAGUGGAGAACAACCUGAGUAUAAGAGAAGGGAAGAAAUGCAGACCUGGAAAGGAAAGAAAUCAAUUUUUGCCAUUGACCAUCUAAAGAGUGAUGUUUAUGAACUGUUGGGCUGUUUUUAUUUGAUCUAUGCAACAAAUUUUCAGUGAAUCCAUUGAUUAGUCAUUUGCAGAAUGAUGCAGAAGAAUAGAAAGAAGCAUCAUCCAACUGGGCAAGAUGCAUUCUUUCCCAUUCCCAUCUGUCUCUGCUUUGAGGUGAUCUGCCUUCUCCAAAAGUCACCUGAAGGAUGUCCUAGCCAAAUUAGAAUGAAUACAUCCCUCUCUCUGAAGAAUCAUAAAACCGAAGCAAUUGACAGAGGUCAUGGAAGACUGAGGCUUUCUCCAGGAAAAGAACUACUUAAAAUUUCAAAAGAUAAUAUGCACGGAAGCACCCUCCUCAAGCGAAUAUGUUCCCCAGUGUCCUCACUUUUAGAAACAACUAAGAGAGAAAAGUAGAAGAGGAGCUGAGAUGGAUUUUGGUAUUGAUUCAAACUGAGCUCAAUGGAACAACCCUCUAAUGAUUCAGUUAGAAUAAAUCUCUCAAAGGUCAGCUGCUUCUCCAAACCACUAGAAAAUCAAUAUAAUUAGAGCGAGUAAAUUCCACA